This 253-nucleotide ribosomal RNA is filed under the name uncultured bacterium. RNAcentral describes it as "partial 16S ribosomal RNA". It matches the Rfam family "Bacterial small subunit ribosomal RNA", at positions 524 to 776 of the family's 1533-position model. The record is from RNAcentral.
UACGUAGGGUGCAAGCGUUGUCCGGAAUUAUUGGGCGUAAAGAGCUCGUAGGCGGUUUGUCGCGUCGAAUGUGAAAACCCGGGGCUCAACCCCGAGUCGGCCGUCGAUACUCUUCGGCUUGAGCACUGUAGAGGCAGGUGGAAUUCCGGGUGUAGCGGUGGAAUGCGUAGAGAUCCGGAAGAACACCGGUGGCGAAGGCGGCCUGCUGGGCAGUAGCUGACACUGAGGCGCGACAGCGUGGGGAGCAAACAGG